GUGUCAGCAGCCGCGGUAAUACAGAGGUGGCAAGCGUUGUUCGGAAUUACUGGGCGUAAAGGGCGCGUAGGCGGUUCUGUAAGUCCCGUGUGAAAUCCCCCGGCUCAACUGGGGAAUGGCACGGGAGACUGCGGGGCUUGAGUUCGGGAGAGGGAAGCGGAAUUCCGGGUGUAGCGGUGAAAUGCGUAGAUAUCCGGAGGAACACCGGUGGCGAAGGCGGCUUCCUGGACCGACACUGACGCUAAGGCGCGAAAGCUAGGGGAGCAAACGGGAUUAGAAACCCCCGUAGUCC
RNAcentral lists this ribosomal RNA (292 nucleotides) under uncultured bacterium. RNAcentral's name for it is "partial 16S ribosomal RNA". It matches the Rfam family "Bacterial small subunit ribosomal RNA", at positions 505 to 796 of the family's 1533-position model. The record is from RNAcentral.